UUUCCGUAGGUGAACCUGCGGAAGGAUCAUUAUCGAAAUACUUAUUUAGCGUUCCGUGCUAUCCCAUUGUUUUAUUUACCCUGUUGCUUCCACUGGAUGAGUUUCCAUACCUUGUGUUUGAGAAACUUUGGCUUGUGUAAGAUUCAUUCACGGCCAGCCAGUGAGAAGACCAUUUACAAAACCCUGUUAAGAACCAAUUGUCUGAAUAUUUUACUCCAAUGAAAUAAAACUUUCAACAACGGAUCUCUAGGCUCUUGCAUCGAUGAAGAACGCGGC
This 276-nucleotide unclassified non-coding RNA is filed under the name plant metagenome. RNAcentral describes it as "partial contains small subunit ribosomal RNA, internal transcribed spacer 1, and 5.8S ribosomal RNA". The stretch from base 228 to 276 matches the Rfam family "5.8S ribosomal RNA", at positions 1 to 49 of the family's 154-position model. The record is from RNAcentral.